UGGAGACACACAAUUUUCUGCAUAUCUUUUUCUCAGAACUCCCAGCAGCAGUAGCUGGAAGAGAACAAUUCAGUCAUGCAAAAUAAUAUUUAACUCAUUAAAGCGAUACAGGAGAAGGAAGAUUCUGGCAAAUAUCUGAACUGGCCAUUGUCCUAUCUCUUGCACAAGAUGUUUAUGCUGGCCUCAGCUCUGAGAUUGCUGAAUCCCAUAUAUGUGCCAGGUGCCACACGGUGGUGCUCCUGACUCCCCAUCACUCAGAGGCCUGAGAGGAGUUACAGUGUUUGUAUCAAAACUGGUUUAGGAGAGAAGGCUAGCACUCAGCUCUGCA
This is a long non-coding RNA of Pezoporus occidentalis (night parrot), 328 nucleotides long. RefSeq lists it as uncharacterized. The transcript is spliced from 3 exons. Lineage: Eukaryota; Metazoa; Chordata; Aves; Psittaciformes; Psittacidae. The record is from RefSeq and is a predicted model, not a curated record.